AGAUGUGAGGGAGAUCUAGCUGUGACAUCUGUCACCCAUUGAUUGCCAGGGCUGAUUAGAGUGAUCUGGCUUGCAAGGCAGGUGUCUCUUUCCUCCCUCUCCACUCCAUGUGCGCCCCUCCCAAAGCUGUGUGCUUGGUCGAAGAGGACCAUCCCUGAAUGAGGAGGACCAUUCUUCAGUCAAGGGUAUACAAGUAGCUGCACUCCCCUGUUAGAACUCCAAACAAACUCUCAAUAAGAGGCAGUCAGGACCAGUUAAAAGGACAUGAACAGCUGCGUGUAGCGGCACACACCUGU
This 296-nucleotide small nuclear RNA is filed under the name Castor canadensis (American beaver). Its description in RNAcentral is "7SK RNA (ENSCCNG00000015625.1)". It matches the Rfam family "7SK RNA". Rfam says of the family: 7SK was discovered as an abundant small nuclear RNA in the mid-70s but a possible function has only recently been suggested. Two independent studies have found that 7SK RNA binds the CDK9/cyclin T complex (known as elongation factor P-TEFb). Lineage: Eukaryota; Metazoa; Chordata; Mammalia; Rodentia; Castoridae. The record is from Rfam by way of RNAcentral.